Molecule: ribosomal RNA, 329 nt
Filed under: uncultured eukaryote
Lineage: Eukaryota
Description: partial 18S ribosomal RNA
Rfam family: Eukaryotic small subunit ribosomal RNA
Source: RNAcentral
CCCUUAGAUGUUCUGGGCCGCACGCGCGCUACACUGACAGAGCCAGCGAGUUAUUCACCUUGGCCGGAAGGUCUGGGUAAUCUUGUGAAACUCUGUCGUGCUGGGGAUAGAGCAUUGCAAUUAUUGCUCUUCAACGAGGAAUUCCUAGUAAGCGUGAGUCAUCAGCUCGCGUUGAUUACGUCCCUGCCCUUUGUACACACCGCCCGUCGCUACUACCGAUUGAAUGGCUUAGUGAGGUCUUGGGAUUGGCUUCGGGGAGCCGGCAACGGCACCCUGUUGCUGAGAACUUGAUCAAACUUGGUCAUUUAGAGGAAGUAAAAGUCGUAACA